Molecule: ribosomal RNA, 479 nt
Filed under: uncultured Glomus
Lineage: Eukaryota; Fungi; Glomeromycota; Glomeromycetes; Glomerales; Glomeraceae
Description: SSU rRNA
Rfam family: Eukaryotic small subunit ribosomal RNA
Source: RNAcentral
AGCAGCCGCGGUAAUUCCAGCUCCAAUAGCGUAUAUUAAAGUUGCUGCAGUUAAAAAGCUCGUAGUUGAAUUUCGGGACUAAUAUGUCGGUCGUGCCUCGGUACGUACUGGUUUAUUGGUUUCUCCUUUCUGAAGAACCAUGAUGUCAUUUAUUUGGUGUCGUGGGGAAUCAGGACUGUUACUUUGAAAAAUUAGAGUGUUUAAAGCAGGCUCACGCUUGAAUACAUUAGCAUGGAAUAAUGAAAUAGGACGUUUGAUUCUAUUUUGUUGGUUUCUAGGAUCGACGUAAUGAUUAAUAGGGAUAGUUGGGGGCAUUAGUAUUCAAUUGUCAGAGGUGAAAUUCUUGGAUUUAUUGAAGACUAACUACUGCGAAAGCAUUUGCCAAGGAUGUUUUCAUUAAUCAAGAACGAAAGUUAGGGGAUCGAAGACGAUCAGAUACCGUCGUAGUCUUAACCAUAAACUAUGCCGACUAGGGAUCG